UAAGGAAUAUUGCGCAAUGGGGGAAACCCUGACGCAGCAACGCCGCGUGGAGGAUGACACUUUUCGGAGCGUAAACUCCUUUUAUCAGGAAAGAAUAAUGACGGUACCUGAUGAAUAAGCACCGGCUAACUCCGUGCCAGCAGCCGCGGUAAUACGGGGGGUGCAAGCGUUACUCGGAAUCACUGGGCGUAGAGGACGCGUAGGCGGAUUAUCAAGUCUUUUGUGAAAUCUAGUGGCUUAACCACUAAACUGCUUAGGAAACUGAUAGGCUAGGGUAGGGGAGAGAUAGAAGGAAUUCUUGGUGUAGGGGUAAAAUCCGUAGAGAUCAAGAAGAAUACCCAUUGCGAAAGCGAUCUGCUGGAACCUAACUGACGCUGAGGCGUGAAAGCGUGGGUAGCAAACAGG
RNAcentral lists this ribosomal RNA (405 nucleotides) under bacterium. Its description in RNAcentral is "partial 16S ribosomal RNA". It matches the Rfam family "Bacterial small subunit ribosomal RNA", at positions 355 to 776 of the family's 1533-position model. The record is from RNAcentral.